Non-coding RNA from Nicotiana tabacum (common tobacco), 946 nucleotides. NCBI's taxonomy places the organism in Eukaryota, Viridiplantae, Streptophyta, Magnoliopsida, Solanales, Solanaceae. The record is from RefSeq and is a predicted model, not a curated record.
UCUCUGUUUCCCCUCUCUUUCCUUCUAUCCCUCUCUCUGCCUUCUCCUCUCUGUAUCUACAUAAAGGGAACACCAAUCUGUCGAGAAAAUUACAAACCAAAAACAGGCCAAUCUGAAUUCUAAACCCUAGAUUAUUCUCUAAGUUAUGUAUUUUAUUCAAAAUUCUGAUGAAGCAGCACUACUCAAAGUGGCAAAGGAUGUCCUACAUCAUUCAGAAGUGUCCUCCCUUGAAAAAGGAGAGUGUUUAUUGUAUUAACUUUGGAGGAUGUCUCUCAGAGUUGGCUUGGCUUAAUUCCGUUGGCGUUCUAUAGUUUGCGGUGAUAUUCCUCUCCUUUUGUACCUAUUUAAGGUAUCAAAACAUCAUGGCACAAGCUAGCAACAUUAAUCAAAUAAGACCAGCUACACCUGAUUGGACAUGCAAAAUUUAAGUUCUAAACAGAAGUUGAGAACGAGAAAGUUGUGAGAGAAAAGAUAAAAUUUCAGAAUCUUAUGUUACAUGAUGAAGAGAAUUUGUCCAACAGGGAAGCACCAUUUCUCUCAUAGAACUGCAUGCUGCUGCCGAACUGCAAGAUUAGUUGGUAGAAGGAGCCUCUCAAAGAUAUAUUCUAAGUCAAAUGAGGUCAUUAUCUUGUGAAUGUGAAGAUGGGCGGAUCUAUCUAUAUAUAACUAGAUGGGAUUGGCCCGUGCUCCAACAUUUUGGAUUAUAGUAUAUUUCAUUUCGAGAGAGAGUUAAAAAUUAAGCUAAAACAAAAAUAUGUGUAAGAAAACUUAAAUUCAGAAGCAGCAAUACAAAGUUCAAUAGUUGACAAAGUUGACUGAAGCUCUCAUACAACUGCAAUUAAUGUAGCUACCUUCAACCUCCCACAAAAGGAAAGCUGCAUUCAAAGUGCCGUGAAAAGUUUCUACAGGAGGAGUCAAAUCAAAUAUACAACAAAACUUUGUUGCU